Molecule: ribosomal RNA, 279 nt
Filed under: uncultured bacterium
Lineage: Bacteria
Description: partial 16S ribosomal RNA
Rfam family: Bacterial small subunit ribosomal RNA
Source: RNAcentral
UGCCAGCCGCCGCGGUAAUACGGAAGGUGCAAGCGUUGUUCGGAUUGACUGGGCGUAAAGCGCGUGUAGGCGGGCUUGUAAGUCGGAUGUGAAAGCCCCGGGCUCAACCUGGGAAUUGCAUCCGAAACUACAAGUCUUGAAUGCUUGAGGGGUUAGUGGAAUUCCAGGUGUAGGAGUGAAAUCCGUAGAUAUCUGGAGGAACAUCGGAGGCGAAGGCGGCUAACUGGCAGUGCAUUGACGCUGAGACGCGAAAGCGUGGGGAGCCAACAGGAUUAGAUA